AAGUCGUAACAAGGUUUCCGUAGGUGAACCUGCGGAAGGAUCAUUACAGAAUGUAACCUCCUUUGGUGCACUCUUUAUAUCCCUUUGUCUACUUUCCCUGUUGCUUCCAUGGUGCCAGUCAGUUUGGCUCUGGACAGGCGGUUAAUCUCCCUGUUUGGAAGUGCCCAUGGGUGGUCCUUUUCCUGGUGAAGUUAGUAUCCAGGCUCAGGAACCUUAUUUAAAAAUCUUUAUCUGUGAUACAUCUGUCUGAAUAAAUCAUGAAAUAAGAAUAAAACUUUCAACAACGGAUCUCUAGGCUCUU
RNAcentral lists this unclassified non-coding RNA (301 nucleotides) under fungal sp. RNAcentral's name for it is "partial internal transcribed spacer region". The stretch from base 1 to 46 matches the Rfam family "Eukaryotic small subunit ribosomal RNA", at positions 1786 to 1831 of the family's 1831-position model. Lineage: Eukaryota; Fungi. The record is from RNAcentral.